UUAAGUUAUUAAGGGCGCACGGUGGAUGCCUUGGCACUAGAAGCCGAUGAAGGACGUUACUAACGACGAUAUGCUUUGGGGAGCUGUAAGUAAGCUUUGAUCCAGAGAUUUCCGAAUGGGGAAACCCAGCAUGAGUUAUGUCAUGUUAUCGAUAUGUGAAUACAUAGCAUAUCAGAAGGCACACCCGGAGAACUGAAACAUCUUAGUACCCGGAGGAAGAGAAAGAAAAUUCGAUUCCCUUAGUAGCGGCGAGCGAAACGGGAAGAGCCCAAACCAACAAGCUUGCUUGUUGGGGUUGUAGGACACUCUAUACGGAGUUACAAAGGACGACAUUAGACGAAUCAUCUGGAAAGAUGAAUCAAAGAAGGUAAUAAUCCUGUAGUCGAAAAUGUUGUCUCUCUUGAGUGGAUCCUGAGUACGACGGAGCACGUGAAAUUCCGUUGGAAUCUGGGAGGACCAUCUCCUAAGGCUAAAUACUCUCUAGUGACCGAUAGUGAACCAGUACCGUGAGGGAAAGGUGAAAAGCACCCCGGAAGGGGAGUGAAAUAGAACCUGAAACCGUGUGCUUACAAGUAGUCAGAGCCCGUUAAUGGGUGAUGGCGUGCCUUUUGUAGAAUGAACCGGCGAGUUACGAUUUGAUGCAAGGUUAAGCAGUAAAUGUGGAGCCGUAGCGAAAGCGAGUCUGAAUAGGGCGUUUAGUAUUUGGUCGUAGACCCGAAACUAGGUGAUCUACCCUUGGUCAGGUUGAAGUUCAGGUAACACUGAAUGGAGGACCGAACCGACUUACGUUGAAAAGUGAGCGGAUGAACUGAGGGUAGCGGAGAAAUUCCAAUCGAACCUGGAGAUAGCUGGUUCUCUCCGAAAUAGCUUUAGGGCUAGCCUCAAGUGAUGAUUAUUGGAGGUAGAGCACUGUUUGGACGAGGGGCCCCUCUCGGGUUACCGAAUUCAGACAAACUCCGAAUGCCAAUUAAUUUAACUUGGGAGUCAGAACAUGGGUGAUAAGGUCCGUGUUCGAAAGGGAAACAGCCCAGACCACCAGCUAAGGUCCCAAAAUAUAUGUUAAGUGGAAAAGGAUGUGGCGUUGCCCAGACAACUAGGAUGUUGGCUUAGAAGCAGCCAUCAUUUAAAGAGUGCGUAAUAGCUCACUAGUCGAGUGACACUGCGCCGAAAAUGUACCGGGGCUAAACAUAUUACCGAAGCUGUGGAUUGUCCUUUGGACAAUGGUAGGAGAGCGUUCUAAGGGCGUUGAAGCAUGAUCGUAAGGACAUGUGGAGCGCUUAGAAGUGAGAAUGCCGGUGUGAGUAGCGAAAGACGGGUGAGAAUCCCGUCCACCGAUUGACUAAGGUUUCCAGAGGAAGGCUCGUCCGCUCUGGGUUAGUCGGGUCCUAAGCUGAGGCCGACAGGCGUAGGCGAUGGAUAACAGGUUGAUAUUCCUGUACCACCUAUAAUCGUUUUAAUCGAUGGGGGGACGCAGUAGGAUAGGCGAAGCGUGCGAUUGGAUUGCACGUCUAAGCAGUAAGGCUGAGUAUUAGGCAAAUCCGGUACUCAUUAAGGCUGAGCUGUGAUGGGGAGAAGACAUUGUGUCUUCGAGUCGUUGAUUUCACACUGCCGAGAAAAGCCUCUAGAUAGAAAAUAGGUGCCCGUACCGCAAACCGACACAGGUAGUCAAGAUGAGAAUUCUAAGGUGAGCGAGCGAACUCUCGUUAAGGAACUCGGCAAAAUGACCCCGUAACUUCGGGAGAAGGGGUGCUCUUUAGGGUUAACGCCCAGAAGAGCCGCAGUGAAUAGGCCCAAGCGACUGUUUAUCAAAAACACAGGUCUCUGCUAAACCGUAAGGUGAUGUAUAGGGGCUGACGCCUGCCCGGUGCUGGAAGGUUAAGAGGAGUGGUUAGCUUCUGCGAAGCUACGAAUCGAAGCCCCAGUAAACGGCGGCCGUAACUAUAACGGUCCUAAGGUAGCGAAAUUCCUUGUCGGGUAAGUUCCGACCCGCACGAAAGGCGUAACGAUUUGGGCACUGUCUCAACGAGAGACUCGGUGAAAUCAUAGUACCUGUGAAGAUGCAGGUUACCCGCGACAGGACGGAAAGACCCCGUGGAGCUUUACUGUAGCCUGAUAUUGAAAUUCGGCACAGCUUGUACAGGAUAGGUAGGAGCCUUUGAAACGUGAGCGCUAGCUUACGUGGAGGCGCUGGUGGGAUACUACCCUAGCUGUGUUGGCUUUCUAACCCGCACCACUUAUCGUGGUGGGAGACAGUGUCAGGCGGGCAGUUUGACUGGGGCGGUCGCCUCCUAAAAGGUAACGGAGGCGCUCAAAGGUUCCCUCAGAAUGGUUGGAAAUCAUUCAUAGAGUGUAAAGGCAUAAGGGAGCUUGACUGCGAGACCUACAAGUCGAGCAGGGUCGAAAGACGGACU
RNAcentral lists this ribosomal RNA (2411 nucleotides) under Staphylococcus aureus Sau 46. RNAcentral's name for it is "bacterial LSU rRNA". It matches the Rfam family "Bacterial large subunit ribosomal RNA", at positions 3 to 2412 of the family's 2925-position model. The record is from RNAcentral. Lineage: Bacteria; Bacillati; Bacillota; Bacilli; Caryophanales; Staphylococcaceae.